CAGGUUUAAUGCCACUGGUCAGCUGGCUUUUGGAGAUCAAGUAACUGCUGUAUGUGAUCAUUAUGGUAGAGAAGAUGACUAUAAGAAAUGUAAGUGGUCUUUGGCAUAGCUGUCUGACUUGCUUUGGCCAAUGAGACUGGAACAAAUGUGAUGCAAACGGAAACCUGUCAAGCCCUUGCAUGUUGGGGCUUGCCUUCUUUUUUCCUGUUCUGGACCAGCUUCCAUGUUGAUGAAGCCUGACUAACCUGCUGGAGACACACGGCCCACUAGCAAUCGGCAGCAGCUCCAAGACAUGUAAGACCAGCUGAGACCAGCAUCUUUCAGCCAAUCUGUCAAACCGCCAGACCAACUGCAAACACAUGGAUGAGCCCAGCUGACAUGCAGAUCCUACAAGAAGUUUGAGUUUCAGUCAGCAAGAAGGAAUGAGGAGGGCACUCCAGGCAGAAGACACAACGUGAACAAAGGCGCAAAGGUAGGAAUGAGCACGGCUUGGGAACAGGAAAGGGAGAAGGAUGGCCUGAAAAGCCAAGCAAAAGAGCUCAAAUCUAAUCAAGAGACAGGAGACUGGCCUGAUGAUGAAAACAGUGUAGGGGGAAUCAGAUCUUGCAGUAUGUGCUGCUCCACUCAAGGGGACUUCCCAAAGCUAUCUAUACAUAGCUAUACAUAUCUAUCUAUAGUUCUCAUUGGGUGUUGGCAAUGAAACAAGAUGUUAGAUAGGUCAAA
Molecule: long non-coding RNA, 723 nt
Organism: Capra hircus (goat)
Lineage: Eukaryota; Metazoa; Chordata; Mammalia; Artiodactyla; Bovidae
Exons: 3
Source: RefSeq, a predicted model, not a curated record